UUCGUGAUAAUUGUCAUGUUCAUGAUGUUCUAUUUGAUGUCAUUUGCUCCAUAACCUGGAAAUGCCCUCCACCUGUUCGAUGUAAUAAACCAAUGUCGGCCCUGUCCUUAUUGAAGAAAAGAAAAUGGACCUUCGAGGCAUGUAGAAGUCCUUGAAUUGGAUAGCUAUGGAGUAUCUGUUUAUUUUGAUAUGAAAAGAUCGAAGCUCGGCCUUUAGCUAAGGAAGACGAUACAUGGUUAGACUUUGUUCUGUGGAGAUACCGGUGC
Molecule: long non-coding RNA, 266 nt
Filed under: Eucalyptus grandis
Lineage: Eukaryota; Viridiplantae; Streptophyta; Magnoliopsida; Myrtales; Myrtaceae
Description: long non-coding RNA (EGRA_LNC007459)
Source: RNAcentral